ACUGACUCACUUGUCUCAGUCCGUCUCAGUGUUGCUAAAGAGUCUUUUUUUAGCACCUGGGUUUUUUUUGUUCGGAUGUGUUUUGAUUUAUGAAUGUGAGUUUUAUGUGGAUUUUGAUGGUUUGUGAAGGUUGUGUUGUGGGGUUUUUAUUAUGCGGUGAAAUUUUAUAUUUUUAUGUUGGUGGGUGUGGAUUUCUUAUUAAGGUAUUUGGAGCUGUUACAUGUUGAACAUAAGUUAAAUGUGUGGCUAUUUUCUUCAAUAUAAACUAAGAAGAAGAAAGAUUAUUUUAAAAGGUAAAAAAUUAUCAAAACUGAUUUUUUUUGUGUAUUAGCUUUUAGAAACAAGUAGUUCGAUGGAAGUUACACUUCUGUCUAUAGGAAUUUGUAGCCAUUUCUUUGAAGAGAAAUGAGCAAUAUGAAGAUUGAAUUUCUGAAGUGGGUAAAGGAGUGCUGCUAGUUGGAAUUGCAAACCUUUCAGUGAAAGCUAGGCUGUUUUAAGUGAGUGAGUGUGCAUGUAGUUCUGUUUGUGGAUGGCAUGUUUUCUGGUUCUUUAUGGAUUUGAGUUUUAUAUGUAAUGAGGUUGUUUGGAGUGUUUCCUUUUCUUUUUUCUUUUCGUUGGGAAAUAUAUUGAGUAAUUUCUAUUGGCUAUUUAUUAGUUCAGCGUUGAAUUCAGAGACAAAUGAGCAUGUAGCAAUAAAGAAGAUAGCAAGUGCAUUUGAUAAUAAGAUUGAUGCAAAGAGGACUCUUCGUGAGAUCAAGUUGCUUCGACACAUAGAGCUUGUGUAGUUGAGUUGGUUAUGGAGUCAAAUGCCAGUGGACUUGUUUUUUUUUGGCUGAUUCCUUUUUUUUUUUUGGUGGCUUCAGUUAUAAGAAGUGACAUAGUGGAUGAUCGGUGUUUUGAUUUAUUUUUUUGUUAUGGAGUCAAAUGCCAGUGGACUUGUUUUUGUUUCAACAUUACAAUAUUGUAAAGCUUGUGUAGUUGAGUUGGUUAGCUGUUUUGUAGGUCGCAUGGACAUGUGCUUAUAUUUUUAUUUGCCCAAGAUGUGAAAUUGACAAUAUUUGUGGUUAAUUUUUUUUUUUUUAAUAAAAAAUGAAACGAUAGUAUUUGCAUGAUCAUAUGUACAUAUGGCUAAUUGUAUAGGAAUAUGGUGAACAUCUGUAAGCCAUCAAUUUGAGAAAAGUAUUUAACUAGUUGGAUUCUGUUGGUAAGUGAUUAUGGAGAUCUGUUCUUGAGAGAGAACAUUUUCAGGAAUUAUGUAUUUAAAAAUAUAGUGUAGGCAUAAGAGAUUAGACUUAUAGUUUUGUUAGAAACACUCAAGGGUUAGUUUACAGAGUGGAAUUACUGGUGGUUAGGAGGCUUUUGUAGAAGAGAUAUCUUUUAUUAUGAAACACGGGAGAAGGUUGAUUUGCCAUGUUAUCUUUUGAGAAUAGAAGUCUUUGACUUCUAAUUUUGCAUAUUUGUGCACAUUGUUGAUGGUCGUUUGAGCUUCUUAGUUGUUUAUAUUUAUGUUUUGUUUAAAUAUUGAAAAUUAAAAAAAAGUUAGGUCCAAUGGCAUUAUUUCAAAAAUGACCUCAUAGUUAUAAUUUUUUAAACCCCACCUUGUUUCACUCCUCAUAUACUUGACUCUCUGUCUCUGGCAGUUGGAGGCUGCACUGCAGUCAAUGAGUUGUUAUCAAUUCAGAGCUCGAAACCCAACUACAGUUAAAAAAAAUCAGAAAUAGAAGAAAAAAACAGAAAUUUCAAAAACACUCAAAACAUUUUCAUUUUUUGAAACGAAAAUGAUUGCAAAAUGCUCUUUUCAGUCUCCUAACACCCCCCUCUUAAAGAGUCUUGAUGGGCUUCGCCACCUUGCAGAAAUGCACCAUUUCAAGGUAAACUCACUUCGCCAAUUCAAUUUCUUGGGGAAAUUUGGGGUCCUUCAUGAUGGAAAACAACCUUAUCCUGGUGCAAUUUCUACAUGUAUGUAUUCAUAUGUGAGUUUUAGCAUUUGAGUGUUCUUGUUUUAGGUUGUUAUCGAUAUUAUAAAGUUUAAUGCUUUUACAUAUAUAAAUAGAUGUGAUGAUCAUGCAGUAUUGGCAUGUUAAAGGGUAUUAACUUCAUUGUUAUGCUUCAUCCGAUCGCAUAGGGCAAAAUAAAAACGUUCCCUUUAGGAAAUAAGUAAAGCCACGACUUGGUUGUUAAGAAUGUGCUUCAAAGUUUGAGUGUCUAAGCCUAUUUAGGUGUUGUACUCAUUUAUCAUAAAAAAUUAUCAUUGUAGCAUAGUAAUAUGGUCUCCCCUGUUUCUUUCGUUGUCCAUUCAAAAUAAGCGAAAUAUCUGAAUUACGUUUUCUGUGAUUUUUUGUAUAACUACGUAAUAGUCAUUUUGAUAUACUCAUAAAAAUCUCAAACAUAUCUUGCUGUAAGGGCUCGGCCUUCAAGUCAUAGAGAAUGUAGAAGAAGCUGAUUUUAUUCUGGCCCACGGUACUAAAGCAUUGGGGCUCCCUUCUGGAGAGGCGCAUCCUGCUAGUCUUGAGGAUUUUGAAAAAAUAUUGGAGCUUUGUGCAGCUAAGAAAAUUCCAAUGAUCGUAGCCAAUCCAGAUUAUGUGACUGUUGAGCCUAGGGCUCUGCGUGUUAUGCCCAGUAAAUUCCAUUCUCUUUAGUAUGCCACAACAUUGUGAAAGGAAAAUAGCUUACUUUGUGCUGGAAGCUUUCACUCUACUGUUACAUUUUUAUACCUGUUGCUGGUGUUUCCAUUCACAUUCUGGUUACUGCACAGAACCUGGAAUUUCUCUAUAUUUAAAUUGCAGAUUUUGGAAUUUUGUUGUUCCACCUUUUGAAAUUUAAAUUUUGUCGAUCCUUCUAGGUACUUUGGCAUCAAAAUAUGAAAAGCUUGGAGGUGAAGUGGCAUGGAUGGACAAACUUGAUAAGUGAUGAACAUGGUCGGUGUUGCUACUAGUGACUCCAUUGCUGUGGGUGAUUCCUUCACCAUGAUACUAAGGGAGCCAAUGCAGCUGGAAUCCAGUCAGUAUUUACCAUUGGAGGAAUCCAUGCAAAUGAACUUGGACUAAGCAGUUUCGAAGGAUUUGCAGAUUUAUCUUCUAUCCAAAACUCUUUUAUCAAAAUAUGAUGCGUAUCCAUCAUGUGUUACCAGCAUUCAUAUGGUAAAAUCUGAUCAAGGUAAGUACGGAUUUAGUCACUAUGUUUCCGAACUUGCUUGUCAGUAGUAAAUAUUAGUUGAUAUGGAUCUAUAUCUAAAACUCAAUAAUUAAGGAUAGAAUCUAAAACAUUUCCAACGUGUCUGCCAUAUGAGGAAGAUUUAUAAAAGUUGGUUCACAUGUCUGCCAACAUCUUAUUUACA
Long non-coding RNA from Mangifera indica (mango), 3337 nucleotides. RefSeq lists it as uncharacterized. The record is from RefSeq and is a predicted model, not a curated record. The transcript has 2 exons. NCBI's taxonomy places the organism in Eukaryota, Viridiplantae, Streptophyta, Magnoliopsida, Sapindales, Anacardiaceae.